UGCUAAUACCGGAUAACAACAGAUGAUGCCUAUCAACUGCUUAAAAGAAUGGUUCUGCUAUCACUCUUGGAUGGACCUGCGGUGCAUUAGCUAGUUGGUAGGGUAACGGCCUACCAAGGCGAUGAUGCAUAGCCGAGUUGAGAGACUGAUCGGCCACAUUGGGACUGAGACACGGCCCAAACUCCUACGGGAGGCAGCAGCU
RNAcentral lists this ribosomal RNA (202 nucleotides) under uncultured Lactobacillus sp. RNAcentral's name for it is "partial 16S ribosomal RNA". It matches the Rfam family "Bacterial small subunit ribosomal RNA", at positions 161 to 355 of the family's 1533-position model. Lineage: Bacteria; Bacillati; Bacillota; Bacilli; Lactobacillales; Lactobacillaceae. The record is from RNAcentral.